AAAGAAGGCCUAGCCUAAAACAUCAUGUUCAUUAUGAUUGCUACUUACAUAGGGUCUUGCUUCAUGAGAGUGAGGAGUCAUUUAAUCUGAUAGAAGUCCCAUUGCCCAUGAAUGAUGAGCUUUUGGUUCAUUAAGAGAGGAAAACGUAAAGAGAAAUGAAGAGACAAGAGCAAUGACAGAGAAAAGGAAAGGAAGUCAAUAGUGAGCCACCAAAGAAUGAAGAAGGAGAAUUUUCUGGAACUUUCUACAAGUGAUGAGGAAAAAAUGAUUGCAUGAGAUAAAGGAUGUAAAAUGCGAAUGGAUGAAGUUGAGAUGUGCCAUAAGGAUCCAACAUGAUUGCAAAACAGCAGCUGAGUUGCUGGGAAAACUAACUAUGAUUCGUUAGUAUUGGGAUGUGAGCAAACAGCAUAUUCACAAAAUUAGCAGAACAGAUAUGAGAAUGUUAA
Molecule: unclassified non-coding RNA, 446 nt
Filed under: Hevea brasiliensis (rubber tree)
Lineage: Eukaryota; Viridiplantae; Streptophyta; Magnoliopsida; Malpighiales; Euphorbiaceae
Source: RNAcentral